Non-coding RNA from Camellia sinensis, 800 nucleotides. Lineage: Eukaryota; Viridiplantae; Streptophyta; Magnoliopsida; Ericales; Theaceae. The record is from RefSeq and is a predicted model, not a curated record.
GAAAAUUUAUGCUUUUUUAACUGAUAAAUGAGCUUGAACCUCUCUUGAGACCCUGCUGUAAAGUGGGAGCCUUUUGCACUAGAUACGACCUUUUCACGCAUACAUUUAUUCUUCAAAUGGAAUUGUUGGGAAUGAAUAUCUAUCAGAUUAUUGUAUGCUAGUAUACUUACCAUUAACACAAAUAAAUCAUUUAAUAUUUUCUCUGCUGAUUUCCACUUUCUGACUAGUCCAACUCUUUUGUGAUGAUACAGGUUGUAUUUCCAAGCUUUGGUGAGAGGUAUAUUUCCACUGUUCUUUUUCAGUCUAUUCAUGAUGAAGUCAGAGAAAUGCAACAAAGAUAGUGUUCAACUUUGCUCACUUUUUUCAUUUAAAAGGCACAUUAAUCCAGAGAUAGCUUUCGAUGGAAUGAGAAAGACUGUUGUUUGAUCAAAGUGUUGAUGAGAAUGUUGUUCAAGUUCUGGUUGCCAAUGAGCUGCUUUUACCAUGCGCUUUCGUUCAUUGUGUGGCAAAGAAUUAGACAUAAAGAGGUGAAGAGUCGGCUUUCAACAACGGAGUCGAUCUAGCAGAAAGUUGUAUAUUAUGCUAAUAGUGAUACAUUUGCAAAGAGUUUGAAUCCAUACUCUUAUUGAUGAAUUAGAAGAUUUUGACAUCAUUUGUUUCAAUGGAAAUUACUUCCGGGUGGAGAACUCGAAUUCUCAGUUUAAGGGAAAAUUUUCUGGUAGGAAGAGGAAAAAUUUGCAAAAAAUUCUGAUAUUUUCACAUUGUUUUUAGUUGCUGCUUCAAUUAUUAUUUUUGCCAUA